AGUGAACGCUGGCGGCGGGCCUAACACAUGCAAGUCGAGCGGCCGCACAGUAAGCGCUCGCCCUUACGGUUGGCGAGUGGCGGGCGGGUGAGGCAUACAUCAGCUUCUUCUUUUUCGUGGGGGAUAACGUAGAGCCACUUCCGCUACUACCGCAUACGACCUACCGGUGAGAGCAGGAGAUCUUCGCGCCUUUCCCGUUUCAAUGAGACGAUGCCGGAUUAGCUAGUUGGCGGGGUAAAGGCCCACCAAGGCGACGAUGCGUAGCUGGUCUGAGAGGAUGAUCAGCCACACUGGAACUGAGACACGGUCCAGACUCCUACGGGAGGCAGCAGUGGGGAAUAUUGGACAAUGGGCGCAAGCCUGAUCCAGCAAUACCGCGUGGGUGAAGAAGGCCUUCGGGUCGUAAAGCCCUGUUGUUGGGAAAGAAAAGCAGCGGGUGAAAACGCGGCUGUUCUGACGGUACCCAAAGAAAAAGCACCGGCUAACUACGUG
This 492-nucleotide ribosomal RNA is filed under the name uncultured bacterium. RNAcentral describes it as "partial 16S ribosomal RNA". It matches the Rfam family "Bacterial small subunit ribosomal RNA", at positions 29 to 507 of the family's 1533-position model. The record is from RNAcentral.